Molecule: long non-coding RNA, 1240 nt
Filed under: Marmota monax (woodchuck)
Lineage: Eukaryota; Metazoa; Chordata; Mammalia; Rodentia; Sciuridae
Source: RNAcentral
AUUGGGAAAUCCGUGGUAACCUUUAUAAAUAGACCACUAACAUUUAUUUUGUAUAAAAGAAGAGGACACAUUGAUAGGAAUUUUUCAUAUUAAAAAUUUGCUGGAAUUACCUGCUUAGGUGGACUGAUUUUACCAGCACAGAUGUGUGACAGUUCAGAAAGUAGGAUGGGGACCUGUGUGUGGCAUGGCUGUGGUGGGUCACUGUUUUUCCACUCUUCAGAGCAUCACCCUUUUGCCCACCUUGUAACUAGUAACCUUCUGACUUUCUCACUUCUCCCACUCACCAUUAAUGCCUGCCUCAUUGUCUGCUCUGCCCCAACUUGAUUGGAUUUUAUUGCUCCAUCUAUUUCUCUGACUGCUUGGGGUUCUGAGCGCAUCUCUGCCAGUGACCUCCUUCCCCACUCACCCCAGACCCUCACUCUGUAGACCCCGUCUGUGUACGUCCCAUGGGAUCCUUUGCUGCUUACUCAGGGUCAGUUCCCUCCUUAGCCAACUUAGAUUCUGUGGUUCAGAUCUUAACUCACUCUCUUACCAAGACCCUCUACUUCCUGACCAUUUUGUCCUUGUGUUGUCUCCUGGGUUGCUGACCAUUGCUGGAGAAAGUCACAUGGCAGGGCAGACUGGGACCUGUUCGCAUAGGGCUGGCCACCUGGGUGCUCCCUAGCAGAUGCACUGUGUUUCUCUGGUUCGCUGUCAGUCUUUUGUAGUGACUGCUACAGGCCUAGUCCAUGCGUUUCAAAAUUCUUCCUGCUUCUGUUUUUACUUCCCUUCUGCACAUGACCUACUUUCUACUUCACAGAGCUAACAGAGACCAUCACAGGGACCCCCUCACCUCUUCCAUUACACCCCCAACUUAAAACAUCCUCCCCGCCUUUGCCCCUGUCUACCCACACCUGCUCGUCUUCAUCUGAUGGGCCAUUUCUGCUUUUCUUCACGGGCCUGCGUGCUGAAGUGGUCUCCCCAGGGCAUCUGAUCCUCCCUCCUCUGUCCACUGCAUUCCUGCAGUAGGACCCUCUUUGCCACCUGCCAGCAAACCCCUUUCAUUAGCUGGGAACUUUCUGGCUUGCUUUCUUAUGCGCUCACUGCUGGCUCUCAGUCAUCUUUGAUGUUUUCAUCUCUGUCGGACUUGUCAAAAGGUGAUUCAGAUGUGUAUUUUUUAAGUGCAGGGAAAUAUUUUCCUUUUGUUUCUGAGGUGCUAGGGAUUGAGACAGGGGCUGCAUGCAUGCUAGGCAGGCACUCC